AGCAGUAGCCACGGGAAUACGUAGGUGGCAAGCGUUGUCCGGAAUUAUUGGGCGUAAAGGGCUCGCAGGCGGUUUCUUAAGUCUGAUGUGAAAGCCCCCGGCUCAACCGGGGAGGGUCAUUGGAAACUGGGAAACUUGAGUGCAGAAGAGGAGAGUGGAAUUCCACGUGUAACGGUGAAAUGCGUAGAGAUGUGGAGGAACACCAGUGGCGAAGGCGACUCUCUGGUCUGUAACUGACGCUGAGGAGCGAAAGCGUGGGGAGCGAACAGGAUUAGAUACCCGAGUAGUCCCUGUCUCUUAUAC
This 303-nucleotide ribosomal RNA is filed under the name uncultured bacterium. RNAcentral describes it as "partial 16S ribosomal RNA". It matches the Rfam family "Bacterial small subunit ribosomal RNA", at positions 507 to 807 of the family's 1533-position model. The record is from RNAcentral.